Myotis brandtii (Brandt's bat) is the source of this 85-nucleotide non-coding RNA. Lineage: Eukaryota; Metazoa; Chordata; Mammalia; Chiroptera; Vespertilionidae. The record is from Rfam.
GGCAGUUCUCAGGUGACACACCCCAGAAUCACCCAGAAUCAGGCUCCCUCCUCUCUGGUUCCGGGUGCAUCACCAGAGAACCAUA